Molecule: ribosomal RNA, 492 nt
Filed under: uncultured bacterium
Lineage: Bacteria
Description: partial 16S ribosomal RNA
Rfam family: Bacterial small subunit ribosomal RNA
Source: RNAcentral
GAUGAACGCUAGCUACAGGCUUAACACAUGCAAGUCGAGGGGAAACGACAUCGAAAGCUUGCUUUUGAUGGGCGUCGACCGGCGCACGGGUGAGUAACGCGUAUCCAACCUGCCCAUCACUUGGGAAUAACCUUGCGAAAGUAAGACUAAUACCCAAUGACAUCCCACGAAGACAUCUGAAUGGGAUUAAAGAUUUAUCGGUGCUGGAUGGGGAUGCGUCUGAUUAGCUUGUUGGCGGGGUAACGGCCCACCAAGGCAACGAUCAGUAGGGGUUCUGAGAGGAAGGUCCCCCACAUUGGAACUGGGACACGGUCCAAACUCCUACGGGAGGCAGCAGUGAGGAAUAUUGGUCAAUGGGCGAGAGCCUGAACCAGCCAAGUAGCGUGCAGGAUGACGGCCCUAUGGGUUGUAAACUGCUUUUAUAAGGGAAUAAAGUGGGUCUCGUGAGACUUUUUGCAUGUACCUUAUGAAUAAGGACCGGCUAAUUCCGUG